UAUGAAGGUCAGGCUGAAGACCUUACCCGAUUAGCUGAGAGGUGGUGCAUGGCCGUCGUCAGUUCGUACUGUGAAGCAUCCUGUUAAGUCAGGCAACGAGCGAGACCCACGUCCACAGUUGCCAGCAUACCCUCCGGGGUGAUGGGUACACUGUGGAGACCGCCGCUGCUAAAGCGGAGGAAGGAGUGGGCAACGGUAGGUCAGUAUGCCCCGAAUCUCCCGAGCUACACGCGGGCUACAAUGGUUGGUACAAUGGGCAUCUACCCCGAAAGGGGAAGGAAAUCUCUUAAAGCCAAUCGUAGUUCGGAUUGAGGGCUGCAACUCGCCCUCAUGAAGCUGGAAUCCGUAGUAAUCGCGUUUCAACAGAACGCGGUGAAUACGUCCCUGCUCCUU
RNAcentral lists this ribosomal RNA (393 nucleotides) under uncultured Methanosaeta sp. RNAcentral's name for it is "bacterial SSU rRNA". It matches the Rfam family "Archaeal small subunit ribosomal RNA", at positions 946 to 1338 of the family's 1478-position model. Lineage: Archaea; Methanobacteriati; Methanobacteriota; Methanomicrobia; Methanotrichales; Methanotrichaceae. The record is from RNAcentral.